CCCUUAGAUGUUCUGGGCCGCACGCGCGCUACACUGAUGCAUUCAACGAGUUUCCUUGGCCGAGAGGCCUGGGCAAUCUUUUGAACGUGCAUCGUGAUAGGGAUAGAUUAUUGCAAUUAUUAAUCUUGAACGAGGAAUUCCUAGUAAACGCAGAUCAUCAAUCUGCAUUGAUUACGUCCCUGCCCUUUGUACACACCGCCCGUCGCUACUACCGAUUGAACGUUUUAGUGAGGUAUUUGGACUGGACCUUCGGAGGUUCGCGCCUCCGUUGCUGUUCGGGAAGACUCCCAAACUUGAGCGUUUAGAGGAAGUAAAAGUCGUAACA
Molecule: ribosomal RNA, 325 nt
Filed under: uncultured eukaryote
Lineage: Eukaryota
Description: partial 18S ribosomal RNA
Rfam family: Eukaryotic small subunit ribosomal RNA
Source: RNAcentral